Molecule: ribosomal RNA, 496 nt
Filed under: uncultured bacterium
Lineage: Bacteria
Description: partial 16S ribosomal RNA
Rfam family: Bacterial small subunit ribosomal RNA
Source: RNAcentral
AUUGAACGCUGGCGGAAUGCUUUACACAUGCAAGUCGAACGGUAGAGGGGGCAACCCCUCGAGAGUGGCGAACGGGUGAGUAAUAUAUCGGAACGUGCCCAGUCGUGGGGGAUAACGUAGCGAAAGUUACGCUAAUACCGCAUACGAUCUAAGGAUGAAAGCGGGGGAUAGCAAGACCUCGCGCGAUUGGAGCGGCCGAUAUCAGAUUAGGUAGUUGGUGGGGUAAAGGCUCACCAAGCCAACGAUCUGUAGCUGGUCUGAGAGGACGACCAGCCACACUGGAACUGGGACACGGUCCAGACUCCUACGGGAGGCAGCAGUGGGGAAUUUAGGACAGUGGACGUAAGUCUGAUCCAGCCAUGCCGCAUGCAGGAUGAAGGCCCUCGGGUUUUGAACUGCUUUUGUACGGAACGAAAAGGUCUCUCUUAAUACGGGGGGCUAAUGACGGUACCGUAAGAAUAAGCACCGGCUAACUACGUGCCAGCCGCCGCCGCCG